RNAcentral lists this ribosomal RNA (460 nucleotides) under uncultured bacterium. RNAcentral's name for it is "partial 16S ribosomal RNA". It matches the Rfam family "Bacterial small subunit ribosomal RNA", at positions 338 to 795 of the family's 1533-position model. The record is from RNAcentral.
CCUACGGGAGGCAGCAGUGAGGAAUAUUGGUCAAUGGGCGCGAGCCUGAACCAGCCAAGUAGCGUGAAUGAUGACUGCCCUACGGGUUUUAAACUUCUUUUAUAAAGGAAUAAAGUGAGGCACGUGUGCCUUUUGGCAUGUACUUUAUGAAUAAGGAUCGGCCAACUCCGGGCCAGCAGCCGCGGUAAUACGGAGUUUCCGAGCGUUAUCCGGAUUUAUUGGGUGUAAAGGGAGCGUAGAUGGGUUGGUAAGUCAGUUGUGAAAGUUUGGGGCUCAACCGUAAAAGUGCAAUUGAUGCUGGCAGUCUUGAGUGCAGUAGAGGUAGGUGGAAUUCGUGGUGUAGCGGUGAAAUGCGUAGAUAUCAGGAAGAACUCCGAUUGCGAAGGCAGCUUACUAAACUGCAACUGACAUUGAUGCUCGAAAGUGUGGGUAUCAAACAGGAUUAGAUACCCUGGUAGUC